GGCUAAAUACUCCCUAGUGACCGAUAGUGAACCAGUACCGUGAGGGAAAGGUGAAAAGCACCCCGGAAGGGGAGUGAAAUAGAACCUGAAACCGUGUGCCUACAACAAGUCAAAGCCCGUUAAUGGGUGAUGGCGUGCCUUUUGUAGAAUGAACCGGCGAGUUACGAUUGCAUGCGAGGUUAAGUUGAAGAGACGGAGCCGCAGCGAAAGCGAGUCUGAAUAGGGCGUUUGAGUAUGUAGUCGUAGACCCGAAACCAUGUGAUCUACCCAUGUCCAGGUUGAAGGUGCGGUAAAACGCACUGGAGGACCGAACCCACGUACGUUGAAAAGUGCGGGGAUGAGGUGUGGGUAGCGGAGAAAUUCCAAACGAACUUGGAGAUAGCUGGUUCUCUCCGAAAUAGCUUUAGGGCUAGCCUCGGAAUUGAGAAUGAUGGAGGUAGAGCACUGUUUGGACUAGGGGCCCAUCUCGGGUUACCGAAUUCAGAUAAACUCCGAAUGCCAUUCAUUCAUAUCCGGGAGUCAGACUGUGAGUGAUAAGAUCCAUAGUCGAAAGGG
RNAcentral lists this ribosomal RNA (555 nucleotides) under Staphylococcus aureus. RNAcentral's name for it is "bacterial LSU rRNA". It matches the Rfam family "Bacterial large subunit ribosomal RNA", at positions 464 to 1019 of the family's 2925-position model. Lineage: Bacteria; Bacillati; Bacillota; Bacilli; Caryophanales; Staphylococcaceae. The record is from RNAcentral.